Molecule: ribosomal RNA, 253 nt
Filed under: uncultured bacterium
Lineage: Bacteria
Description: partial 16S ribosomal RNA
Rfam family: Bacterial small subunit ribosomal RNA
Source: RNAcentral
UACAGAGGUCCCAAGCGUUGUUCGGAUUUAUUGGGCGUAAAGAGCUUGUAGGUGGUUUGUCGAGUCUGCUGUGAAAAUCCGAGGCUCAACCUCGGACUUGCAGUGGGUACGGGCAGACUAGAGUGUGGUAGGGGAGAGUGGAAUUCCUGGUGUAGCGGUGGAAUGCGCAGAUAUCAGGAGGAACACCGAUGGCGAAAGCAGGUCUCUGGGCCAUUACUGACACUGAGAAGCGAAAGCAUGGGGAGCGAACAGG